This 492-nucleotide ribosomal RNA is filed under the name uncultured bacterium. RNAcentral's name for it is "partial 16S ribosomal RNA". It matches the Rfam family "Bacterial small subunit ribosomal RNA", at positions 29 to 507 of the family's 1533-position model. The record is from RNAcentral.
AGUGAACGCUGGCGGUAGGCCUAACACAUGCAAGUCGAACGGCAGCACAGUAAGAGCUUGCUCUUACGGGUGGCGAGUGGCGGACGGGUGAGGAAUACAUCGGAAUCUACUUUUUCGUGGGGGAUAACGUAGGGAAACUUACGCUAAUACCUCAUACGACCUACGGGUGAAAGCAGGGGAUCUUCGGACCUUGCGCGGUUGCAUGAGCCGAUGUCGGAUUAGCUAGUUGGCGGGGUAAAGGCCCACCAAGGCGACGAUCCGUAGCUGGUCUGAGAGGAGGAUCAGCCACACUGGAACUGAGACACGGUCCAGACUCCUACGGGAGGCAGCAGUGGGGACUAUAGGACAAUGGGCGCAAGCCUGAUCCAGCCAUACCGCGUGGGUGAAGAAGGCCUUCGGGUUGUAAAGCCCUUUUGUUGGGAAAGAAAAGCAGCAGGUUAAUACCCCGCUGUUCUGACGGUACCCAAAGAAUAAGCACCGGCUAACUUCGUG